CAGCUACGUAUGGGUAGGAAGGACGCGCCCCUUCGGAGCUCCGUGCCGACGGCGACGCUAAACUAGGAGGGUCGAAGUCGUCAGCGCAUUCGACUUGUGUGGACGGCAAGGAAACCAAAAGACCAAGAUGCCUUGACGGGCCGGCCCUGGGCAUAGGCGACAUAGGCGGUCGCCUAGGGCGCCAUCUGCUGGAGGGGCGCACUGCCAGCACCCUCCUCCUCGGGAAAAAUAUUUCAUCCAUCCAUUAAUCUCCAAACUAGGGUCGCGGGCGUGCUGGAAACCGGAGUGCCCGGAGAAAAGCCACGCAGGCACGGGGAGAACAUGCAAACUCCACGCAGGCGGGUCCUCAGAACUGUGAAAAGUGUCCGGCGGAAAUUUCAACGAGUUAGUAAUUACACUAAAUGUUGGUCUGAAUCAAAUCAAAUAAGGUUUCUCUGUAGUGCCCACUGCAUACGCGUUAACGCAAUGAUGUUACGGAGUGGAUGUUUGAAUGCUGCUACAAGUCAGAGUGAGCCUCAGACAUCUUGGAGCAGCACCACAUUAAACACAGCACCCGCUUGCUGCCCCCUGUGAAACUGGUGAGUUCUGUCAUUGUAUCCUACAGCUGCAGUAGGAUACUGCUAUGUCAACAGGACCAAGUGGAGACACAGUUUCUGUCUCAAUGUUGACAUCACAUAUGAAUAUGUACAAACCAUCCAGCCCUUUACUUCUGGAAUGUUUUAGUCAAUUUACCAACAUUAUGUUAUCAAAUGUUUCCUACAGUCUUGUAUCGUAUGGUAACAGUUGCACAAGAAAAUAUAUCCGAUGAUAAUACCGUAUACAAGGGAAUAGAGCUGAAAUACGAUUCAGAUUAGAUUGCAUAUUCAAGUUGUCCACAGGACACAUUAAAGGUGGAAUCAUUAUUUUCCCCAUCAAAAUGACACAUAAUUAAAUCAAACUGGAUUCUUAAUCUGUUCCACUUGUCACAGAACAAUAUUACUGUUAUUAUUGUUGUUUUGUUUUGUGCUUCAGAAGUGUUUACUGCCUGAUGUGUUGUAGUUUGUAAAUCAUUGUGAGCAUUUGCAUAGAUUUCAUUUGCUUGCAGGUGAAUAGACAGAGACAUAUAUUCGAUUUGGAUGAUCGGUAUACUGCUCGCUCUCUGUUGGGGUUCAGGCCAAUUGAUUGUGACCCCCGAGAACUCGGAAAACAUGUCAAAAUGACCUCAACUGUCCAGAACACACAAGGAAAAACGGGCAAUGGGAGAAAGAGGUGAAGUUGUUGGUACUUUUGGUUUGUCCUAUUAGGUGAAGUUAAUCGCAUUAUUUGUUCGGUAGCGAGGGUCAGUCAUGAAAUGAAGAUUUUCUAUUUUACAUUUUAAAUUGUCUUAUCAAUCAAAGGCAAUGGUAAAAAUGAUGCAAUGCGUGUAUGUCAACCUGUCUUGAAACCCUACUUUGAUAUCCUAACCUCCCCCAUGUGGCAUGACCCCAGCUGAAAGCUAUACCACGACAAUUCUGUUUAAUAAAGCUAAUUCAAGGUGGAAUUUAAAUAGUUUCCAGAAAGACUCAAUUUGAUUUACCUAUGUUUCAACACCUGCUUUAGUAAGUCAUGAAUUCAACGUAUUUUUGUCUUACCGAGUGCUUUUCCUCCUCAUUCAUCACGAUAAUCGAGUUGAAGGAUAGCAGAUCGGCGCCGGUCUCGACGGAAAAUCCAGAGUCCAAACUGUCCGAGACGCCAGCGAGCCCUUCAAAAUGUUGUCUCCGGUGUUACUGUGUCACUACAAAGAAAUAUCUCAACAAUGCCUUCUCGUGAUCAUCAAAAUCGGGAUUUUUUUAAGCUAAAGAUGAGAUGGUGUAUAUUGUGGUGAAAUGCUCCGCUCAUCAUUUUUCCCCUUCCCCUUUUGAAAAUAAAACUUUCAUCCUCAAAUAG
Long non-coding RNA from Phyllopteryx taeniolatus (common seadragon), 1905 nucleotides. RefSeq lists it as uncharacterized. Lineage: Eukaryota; Metazoa; Chordata; Actinopteri; Syngnathiformes; Syngnathidae. The transcript has 2 exons. The record is from RefSeq and is a predicted model, not a curated record.